RNAcentral lists this small RNA (1104 nucleotides) under Histoplasma ohiense. RNAcentral describes it as "hypothetical lncRNA". The record is from RNAcentral. Lineage: Eukaryota; Fungi; Ascomycota; Eurotiomycetes; Onygenales; Ajellomycetaceae.
UACUGCUAUUAUCCAGCACCACCUUGACAUGUUGACGGGAACCUGCAACUGCAUACCCACUUCUAGUCCCGUUGUACCUGCAAUAUGGGGCGGGUGGUUUAUAACAACAACCUGAAAGCUCAGCGGCAUCAUGGCUGUUUUUGAUACAGUAGCAAGGCGACUUGCGGCUAGAGCAACCCGCACACCAGCUGCGUACUUACAAUAAUUCUCUCAGUUGAUUCAAACCCAACUCUCCAGAUUCUGAGCCAGCUUUUAUCCAGAACUAUUGAUUUCUUCCCUCUGAAAACCACCCUCUGCACAAUCCUUGUAUGCGAUCUGGAGCAUUGACUGAGACCAUCCAAUUUUGAUUGAAAUCGAAAGACUGGGAGGCAGGUAGGUCUGACUGCCUUUUGGAGAGUCUGAUACUCGCCGAGGAUCCCUAGUUUCCUUGAGGUCCUUCAAUUUUGUGAGGAGAUGUAGAUAUUGGAAAGGCAUGCUGAUGAAUUUACUGCAUCCCUCAGAAAGAAUGGCAUGCUCUGACAUUUUGAAUCCAUUUCACUGUGCGAAAGAGCUUCAUAUUUCCUGAGAUUUAUUGAACAUUUCUUGAUGAAAAGUCCAUUGAUCAUUGGCACUCUCUAGACGACAGGCUGGCUCUUCUCUCAGAGUGAACUAGAUGGGUUGGAUGGGCCUUAUUCAGAUGAAGCUACAGCAAACUCAAGACGAGUGCUUAGAUAUGCACAGUACUUGGCAUUUUUGAUAUUUAAUGAGCUGAUGUGAUUUUUGUCGUCAAAAAUAUGGAAAGGCAGGAACAGCACCAAACACUUAUUGAAGGUACAAGACGUCAAAAAUGACAAAUACAUUCACGUCUCGAAGAUGGACCCUCCAUGGCGGGCAGCGGCAGGCAGAUAAGAACAUUGAGCAGACUUAUUCUCAAGUAAGGAGCUCCUAUAAUACGCUUAUUGUGAGAACUGGCCUGUCGGCCACGAGUAUGUCUUGUUAGAUCCUCAUGGGAGAUUUCCCUUUUUCAGAGUCCCAGCUCUCACCCAUUCUGUUGAUGGUUAAUGCUGAAAGGCAGUGUACUGUGGAAGGUGAAUCUGCCAUAUGAAGAAUUAUAUUUUUCUAGGG